GAUGAACGCUGGCGGCGUGCCUAAUACAUGCAAGUCGAGCGAACAGACGAGGAGCUUGCUCCUCUGACGUUAGCGGCGGACGGGUGAGUAACACGUGGAUAACCUACCUAUAAGACUGGGAUAACUUCGGGAAACCGGAGCUAAUACCGGAUAAUAUAUUGAACCGCAUGGUUCAAUAGUGAAAGACGGUGUUGCUGUCACUUAUAGAUGGAUCCGCGCCGCAUUAGAUGGUUGGUAAGGUAACGGCUUACCAAGGCAACGAUGCGUAGCCGACCUGAGAGGGGGAUAGCCGACACGGGAAGUGAGACGGCGACAUGGCGCCUGAGAGAGGCCGCAGAAUGGAACCUUCCGCAACGGGGGAAAAUCUGGCGGAAUAACGGCACGUGAGAGGUGACGGCGUUCGGUGCGUAAAGACCUGUUAUGAGGGAAAAACAAAUGUGGAAGUUACUAUGCAGGUCUUGACGGUAACUAAUCAGAAAGCAACGGCUAACUACGUG
This 497-nucleotide ribosomal RNA is filed under the name uncultured bacterium. RNAcentral describes it as "partial 16S ribosomal RNA". It matches the Rfam family "Bacterial small subunit ribosomal RNA", at positions 28 to 507 of the family's 1533-position model. The record is from RNAcentral.